Molecule: ribosomal RNA, 505 nt
Filed under: uncultured bacterium
Lineage: Bacteria
Description: partial 16S ribosomal RNA
Rfam family: Bacterial small subunit ribosomal RNA
Source: RNAcentral
GACGAACGCUGGCGGCGUGCCUAAUACAUGCAAGUAGAACGCACAGUUUAUACCGUAGCUUGCUACACCAUAGACUGUGAGUUGCGAACGGGUGAGUAACGUGUAGGUAACCUGCCUGGUAGCGGGGGAUAACUAUUGGAAACGAUAGCUAAUACCGCAUAAUAUUAAUUAUUGCAUGAUAAUUGAUUGAAAGAUGCAACUGCAUCACUACCAGAUGGACCUGCGUUGUAUUAGCUAGUAGGUGAGGUAACGGCUCACCUAGGCGACGAUACAUAGCCGACCUGAGAGGGUGAUCGGCCACACUGGGACUGAGACACGGCCCAGACUCCUACGGGAGGCAGCAGUAGGGAAUCUUCGGCAAUGGACGAAAGUCUGACCGAGCAACGCCGCGUGAGUGAAGAAGGUUUUCGGAUCGUAAAGCUCUGUUGUAAGAGAAGAACGGGUGUGAGAGUGGAAAGUUCACACUGUGACGGUAUCUUACCAGAAAGGGACGGCUAACUACGUG